CCUACGGGAGGCAGCAGUGGGGAAUAUUGGGCAAUGGGCGAAAGCCUGACCCAGCGAUGCCGCGUGAGGGAUGAAGGCCUUCGGGUUGUAAACCUCUGUCAGGAGGGACGAUGGGACUUUUGUCUUGACGGUACCUCCAGAGGAAGCCCCGGCUAACUCCGUGCCAGCAGCCGCGGUAAUACGGAGGGGGCAAGCGUUGCUCGGAAUUACUGGGCGUAAAGGGUCCGCAGGCUGUCAGGCAAGUUGGUUGUGAAAGCUCAAGGCUCAACCUUGGAAUUGCAUCCAAAACUGCCUGACUAGAGUCCAAGAGAGGUUGGCGGAAUUCCCGGUGUAGCGGUGAAAUGCAUAGAUAUCGGGAGGAACACCAGAGGCGAAGGCGGCCAACUGGCUUGGUACUGACGCUCAGGGACGAAAGCGUGGGUAGCAAACCGGAUUAGAUACCCGGGUAGUCCACGCCCUAAACGAUGGACGCUAGGUAGGGGGAAUUUAUUUCUNCCCUGCCGUAGUUAACGCAUUAAGCAUNCCCGCCUGGGGAGUACGGUCGCAAGGCUGAAACUCAAAUGAAUUGACGG
RNAcentral lists this ribosomal RNA (572 nucleotides) under uncultured bacterium. RNAcentral describes it as "bacterial SSU rRNA". It matches the Rfam family "Bacterial small subunit ribosomal RNA", at positions 338 to 916 of the family's 1533-position model. The record is from RNAcentral.